RNAcentral lists this ribosomal RNA (414 nucleotides) under uncultured microorganism. Its description in RNAcentral is "bacterial SSU rRNA". It matches the Rfam family "Archaeal small subunit ribosomal RNA", at positions 459 to 872 of the family's 1478-position model. The record is from RNAcentral.
CAGCAGCCGCGGUAAUACCGGCGGCCCGAGUGGCGGUCACUAUUAUUGGGCUUAAAGCGUCCGUAGCCGGGUUGGGAAGUCCUCCGGGAAAUCUGGCCGCUUAACGGUCAGAAUGCCGGAGGAUACUCCCAGCCUAGGGAGCGGGGGAGGCCGAGGGUAUUCCCGGAGUAGGGGGGGAAUCCUAUAAUCCCGGGAGGACCACCUGUGGCGAAGGCGCUCGGCUGGAACGCGUCCGACGGUGAGGGACGAAGGCCAGGGGAGCAAACCGGAUUAGAUACCCGGGUAGUCCUGGCUGUAAACGAUGCGGACUUUGUGUCGGACAAGCUAUGAGCUUGUCCGGUGCCGGAGGGAAACCGUUAAGUCCGCCGCCUGGGGAGUACGGCCGCAAGGCUGAAACUUAAAGGAAUUGGCGGG